GACACUUUGCCGGAGUGGUUAACGGGUACCCCUGCUAAGGGUAUGAGCUUUGCUCGCGUGUGUUCGAAUCGCACAGGUGUCG
Hydnum rufescens UP504 is the source of this 82-nucleotide non-coding RNA. The record is from the annotation of a GenBank genome assembly. NCBI's taxonomy places the organism in Eukaryota, Fungi, Basidiomycota, Agaricomycetes, Cantharellales, Hydnaceae.